Molecule: unclassified non-coding RNA, 236 nt
Filed under: uncultured fungus
Lineage: Eukaryota; Fungi
Description: partial contains 18S rRNA, ITS1, 5.8S rRNA, ITS2 and 28S rRNA
Source: RNAcentral
AGGGAUCAUUAACGAAUGGUUCCCGUAACCUUUCAACCUUCAAAACCUGUGGACGUUACGAAACGUGCUUCGGCGCCCCCUGUUCGUGGGGUGCCGCCUUUAUGCUGUACAUCAGUCUCUUUCCGUCUGAACGUAACAUGAAGAAUCAAAACUUUCAACAAAGGAUCUCUUGGCUCUCGCAUCGAUGAAGAACGCAGCGUAGCCACAUCGAUGUGGGAAGUAAAAGUCGUAACAAG